UCACUAUUAUUAAAAAAUAAUUUAAACUUCAAAAGCCUUUAAAAUAAUUAUAAAUAAAUUGAUAAUAUAUAAAAUAAUGCAUAUCGUAUUGAAUAUACGAUCAAUAUAUAAGAGAUUAAUUACAAUAUAAAAGAAAAAAAAAAUCUAUUAGCAACUUCUUUCACUUAUACUAAAUGAUUUUGAAUUUGAAUCUUAUUAAUAUAUAAUCUCAUUGUCAUUAAUAACUUUUAGAGCAUAAAAAUUUUAUUCUGAUCUUAGAAAUUCAAUUUCCUUUUAAAAAACAAAAAUAAGAUGUCGUGAACAAAUCUUUUUCUCUAUCUUAAAUUAAUCAACACUUGCCCAAAUCAAAGUAUGCCAGACUGUGACUUGAUGUUACUUUAUUACUAUCUAAUAGAGAAAAUAUUACUUUUUAAAAUGCAUUUUUCAAAAGCCACUUGCAUAUAUGAUUGUAACCUCUCGAAUUCUUAUUUUAUUAAACCUUAAUAUGCAUACUUGAGUUCCCUUGCAACUUGUAUUUUGGAAUUUAGCAUAUUAAAGCAUUUAUUUUGCCAAUAGUAAACUCCAACCUCAACUUGUAUAACUAAUAAAGAUACCCAAAUUUUCGAUGCUCAAUUUGGAUACUAAUUCUUUAGUUUGAUGAAACACAAUUUGCCCAUAUGUUCAGUUCAAGUUGUAGCAUGAAACGUUUUUUAGUAUUAAUUAAAAGAAGUUUCUUUUUGGUUAUAGGUGAGGUCAGGUCCAGGAUUUGUCUUAAUCUAAUUUUUUAGACAUGUUAAGGUAAAAUUUUAUAAUUAAAAUAAUAUUUAAAAUUACGAUACAAUUACAAUAUAGUAUGUAAAUUUUUUCUUUAAUUAAUAAAAGUUUUUUUUUUUUAAUAUAGAUAGAAUGAAUGCAAAAUUCUUUCUCUUCUAACAAGAUGGUAUUAAAGACAUAUUUCCUUACAUCAAUUUAAAGCAUUAAAGAUUUUAUUUUUUUAUACAAAAAGUCAUAUUUGAAGAUACAAAAAAUUUGUAUGUAUUAAAAUUUAAAUUUUAUAAUUAUUAUAUGCUAAUUAACUAAAUUAAAUAUCGAAUUCAGAGCAUUCAAGAUUUUAUUUUUAAAAUAUUCUCACAAAAAUCAAUUCCUAAUUAAUAAAUAAAAAAAAACUUUUUUCAACUAAUAUGUGGAGAUAUAUGUUUAAAAAAGUUGCAAAUUUGCCAUCAGUGGACUUAAUAUGAACUAUAUAUAAAUAUUAAUUUAUUGCUCAUUGUUUUACUUAUUUUAUUGUUUUAAUAUUGGACUUUCUUUUAAUGUAUUUAUUGUUUUAUGAAAAAAUAAUUAAUAAUAGUAGGUUAAUUAAUAUAUAUUUGAAACCUAACUGUAAAAGAACAAAAAUAUACAGUUGUACUCACAAGAGAAAAAGAAACUCUUCUAGAAAAAAAAAAUGUGUUAUCCAAUUAAUAUUUUCAGAAUCAGAAUCAAAUUGCAAGAAUAUAUCAAAGGAAUAUGUAAUAUCCCUUUGAAAAUCCCAUUGGAUCACACAUGAAUGUUGGCUACCAAAUUGCCACUGGCCCCUCCCCACCAGCCACUUGUCUCACUCUCUUUCAAGUUUAAAUCAUGUUCUAGAUUUUUUUUUCCUUAAUUUUCAAAUCAGAAAUAACAACCUCUUUAAAUAGUUUCAACUUUUAUUUCCUUGAUUUAUUUUUAAAAUAAAAGAAAAACACAUUAGAAUUUUAAGUACUCUUGCAUUACAGUAAAAAACUUAGUCUCAUUUUCUUUGUUAUUUUUUAUAUUUCAAAAUUAU
Molecule: long non-coding RNA, 1783 nt
Filed under: Durio zibethinus
Lineage: Eukaryota; Viridiplantae; Streptophyta; Magnoliopsida; Malvales; Malvaceae
Description: long non-coding RNA (DZIB_LNC000804)
Source: RNAcentral